UAGAAAAGCCCAGAUCUAUAGCUGUUC
This 27-nucleotide non-coding RNA is filed under the name Mus musculus (house mouse). Lineage: Eukaryota; Metazoa; Chordata; Mammalia; Rodentia; Muridae. The record is from RNAcentral.